Molecule: ribosomal RNA, 363 nt
Filed under: Staphylococcus aureus
Lineage: Bacteria; Bacillati; Bacillota; Bacilli; Caryophanales; Staphylococcaceae
Description: partial 23S ribosomal RNA
Rfam family: Bacterial large subunit ribosomal RNA
Source: RNAcentral
AGCCGAUGAAGGACGUUACUAACGACGAUAUGCUUUGGGGAGCUGUAAGUAAGCUUUGAUCCAGAGAUUUCCGAAUGGGGAAACCCAGCAUGAGUUAUGUCAUGUUAUCGAUAUGUGAAUACAUAGCAUAUCAGAAGGCACACCCGGAGAACUGAAACAUCUUAGUACCCGGAGGAAGAGAAAGAAAAUUCGAUUCCCUUAGUAGCGGCGAGCGAAACGGGAAGAGCCCAAACCAACAAGCUUGCUUGUUGGGGUUGUAGGACACUCUAUACGGAGUUACAAAGGACGACAUUAGACGAAUCAUCUGGAAAGAUGAAUCAAAGAAGGUAAUAAUCCUGUAGUCGAAAAUGUUGUCUCUCUUGA